UUUAGAAUUUAUAGUUUAGUUUUCAGGAUUCACAGCAAAUUUUUUAAAAGAUUUCUAUUUUUAACAUAUUCAUUAUAUUAUUAUUAGAGUUUGGUGAAUAUGCUAAAUGCCUCUCCCUUCCAUGAGUUUAUGAAUUUCAAUUAUAUCUUCUCUUCACCAUUGGGUAUCUGGCCUAAUCAAUAUUAAUAGAUAUUUAACCACAUUUUAAAGCUAUAAUAAUUAAAAUAGUAUAAUACUUAUAUAGGGAGGAACAUUAAAUACUCAGGAGAUGUAAUUUUUUUAGCCUCUUAAUUUGGCAGUGUAUCUCAAAAUGUGGUAUGUAUCAAAAUAAUCUGGCCCCAAUUUCAUAACUUCUAAGUGGGAUGCAGCUCUGCCAUGUAUUUGUUGAAGGCAGUGAUGGUGGCAGUGAUUCUAAAAGAGAAAUUCUCAAUUUUGUAGCUGAUUCGCAUAGAGGGCUUGUGACUCCAUCACCUACUGUCUGUGUGACCCUGUGCAAGUUACCUAACCUUCCAUGCCUCAGACUCUUCCUCUCUAGAAGAACUGAGCAUAAUAAUAGUGCCUUCUUCAUCGGAUUAUUAUGAUAGUUACAUGAAUUAAGACAUGGAAUGUGCCAGGUACUAUGUAUAAGGUUGGAAAAGUGAGGUCCAGAGAGGCUUAGCUGGCUGAGUGUGACUGAGAAGAAAAGGCUUGGGGCUGCAAACUCCACAGAGAUAAAGUCCACAGACAGUUUGCUCAUUUCGGAAGAAAGCUCCUGACUGAGGUUCUUUAGAUGCGUUUAACGGAGGGACAGCUGUGCAGAAGCAUCACUGUCUCACUCUUUUCCAGACUGAUCAAAUGAAGCGUCUGUCAUGUCACACAUAUGGAGUUCUCUACCAACAGCAAAGGCUAUUUAGUCAAGUUCUACAGAUCAAAAGUCUAACACUGGUGUUAUUGGGCUGAAAUCCAGGCGAUGGCAGAGCUGCGCUCCUUUCUGGAGGCUCCGGGGAGAAUUCUCUUCCUUAACCUUUCAAGCUUCUCGAGGCCCUCUGCACUCCCUGGAGACAGGAGGAGAGAAGAAUCAUGGACUCCCUGGGCACAGCACCGCAGGUGGCUUUGCCAGUUCUCCCAGCCCCGCGCUGCUCCUGCGCCUGCGCUGAGCCUCCACGUGUCCUCAGGAGACUUAGCCUAGCCUGGGUAUCACCAGCAGUGGGCCAGGCCGCUUUGCCUUCAACUCCCAACAGUAACCUUGCAGAGGUCAGCCUGGGGCCACCAGGAGGAGUUAGUAAGAGCUUAUCCUGUGGGGGCACUCACUGGGGCUGGUGGCCGGGAAAUCCCAGGUGUUUUGUUGGUUUGAGUUUUGUUGUGUUUUUAUUUUUCUUCCGCUGAGAUCAGGACUGAAGCAGGGACGCAGUGCUCAGCACGCCCAGCCCACCGCGGGCCACUGCGCGGAGAACCUCUGCCAGGGUCGCCUGCUCACGUCCCCUAAUCCGCUCCUGGCGCGCGUUCCUGUCCUCCUCCUGCUGUGACUAGUGUGCAUGGAAGGGCACAGUGGUGGCAGAAAGACUUGUGGCGAGAUAUCAAGAUCCACAGGAAGUCAUAAGAGAAAAAGCAUUUUGUUUGAACUCCACCCACUGACCUUUUGUGGGUGAGCUUUCGGUGAAACAGCAACAUCCUCAGAAAUCUUAGAGACACGGCUUUGUAACCCGGGGGAGAGACACCGCUUCCAAAUAUAAUUGACGUGGCUUUCCUGCCUUAAUUCGGGGUAUCCUUUUUCCACCACAUAAUCUUCCCUUUGUCCGCGCUGAUUCCUGUUUAGUUUGGCAGGGCCAGCUGCUGGCAGGCUCCCCCAGUGCUGAAUGCUCCGCGCUCCACUGUGCUGGGCCUGCUGAAAAAGCAGACAGCGCUCCCUCUCCCCCAGAAUCAGGAGCCAAAUGCCACACCGAUUGUGCAACUUGUCUCUGGUUACCAGGAAAACGUAAAGAAAUGCCAAUGAAGCAGAAAGGUCGACAAAAUUCUUUCCAACGCUUGAACAAAAAAGGUAUUUUUAGGGCCCUAGAUUUAUGGAAGUCAAUUCUUCCACUCCUCGCCAGGCUUUCAAACCUCCUAUUCUUUGCACUACAUUAUUUGAAUAAACCGUAAAUACCCUUAGUUGCUCUAAUAGCAACUGCUGGUCCAUAUUGUGCAAGGCGGCCAUGGUCUGAAGACCUUGUUGAAUUUGAAAGACAGAAGUUCCGUUUCUGGCACAUAAACUUGAAUCAGGGCUAUAGUUAAGAGUGCCAGUGAGGUCCACAUUUUGACAGCUAGAUAAGCAGGUCAUUUAUUCAAAAGGACUUUGAAUCCAUGCCCAGAGUCAAAUGCAGUCCUUUGUAAAGCCCAGCAGGCUUGAAAUAAAAACUUCUUAACUGAGUUGAUCAGUGUCCUGCAUUUUAGGGGUCAGGAAAGUAUUUAUGAUAAGUUGGAAAUGGACAGGGCAGGAAAUUCUGGGCCUGGAAGGAUGGCUUCCUCACCAGGGACCGCACCACCAUAUUUUCUAAUUUGUGUCUUGAGGGAAAGUUUAUAUUUUUUGCUGAAAAUAUUAUCUCCUUGUGACAAAACCACAAG
RNAcentral lists this long non-coding RNA (2580 nucleotides) under Homo sapiens (human). RNAcentral's name for it is "HSALNT0372597". The record is from RNAcentral. Lineage: Eukaryota; Metazoa; Chordata; Mammalia; Primates; Hominidae.